CCUACGGGAGGCAGCAGUGAGGAAUAUUGGUCAAUGGCCGGAAGGCUGAACCAGCCAUGCCGCGUGAAGGGCAGGGACCUAUGGGCGUUAAACUUCUUUUGUGCGGGAGCAAUAAUGGUCACGUGUGGCCAGACGAGAGUACCGUACGAAUAAGCAUCGGCUAACUCCGUGCCAGCAGCCGCGGUAAUACGGGGGAUGCAAGCGUUAUCCGGAUUUAUUGGGUUUGAAGGGUGCGUAGGCUGUGAGGUAAGUCAGCGGGGAAAUGCCCCCGCUCAACGGGGUGAAGUGCCAUUGAUACUGCCUUGCUGGAGUGCGUGUGUCGUGGGAGGAAUGUGUGGUGUAGCGGUGAAAUGCAUAGAUAUCACACAGAACACCGAUUGCGAAGGCAUCUCACGAAUCCGCGAUUGACGCUGAUGCACGAAAGCGUGGGUAUCAAACAGGAUUAGAUACCCCUGUAGUC
Molecule: ribosomal RNA, 460 nt
Filed under: uncultured bacterium
Lineage: Bacteria
Description: partial 16S ribosomal RNA
Rfam family: Bacterial small subunit ribosomal RNA
Source: RNAcentral